AGGGUUUGAUCAUGGCUCAGAACGAACGCUGGCGGCAGGCCUAACACAUGCAAGUCGAGCGCGCCCUUCGGGGUGAGCGGCGGACAGGUUAGUAACGCGUGGGAAUAUGCCCUUUGGUACGGAAUAGCCUCUGGAAACGGAGAGUAAUACCGUAUGAGCCCUUCGGGGGAAAGAUUUAUCGCCAAAGGAUUAGCCCGCGUUAGAUUAGGUAGUUGGUGGGGUAAUGGCCUACCAAGCCUACGAUCUAUAGCUGGUUUUAGAGGAUGAUCAGCAACACUGGGACUGAGACACGGCCCAGACUCCUACGGGAGGCAGCAGUGGGGAAUCUUGGACAAUGGGGGCAACCCUGAUCCAGCCAUGCCGCGUGAGUGAUGAAGGCCUUAGGGUCGUAAAGCUCUUUCGCCUGUGAAGAUAAUGACGGUAGCAGGUAAAGAAACCCCGGCUAACUCCGUGCCAGCCGCCGCGGUAAUAC
This 472-nucleotide ribosomal RNA is filed under the name uncultured bacterium. RNAcentral describes it as "bacterial SSU rRNA". It matches the Rfam family "Bacterial small subunit ribosomal RNA", at positions 8 to 526 of the family's 1533-position model. The record is from RNAcentral.